GAUGAACGCUAGCGGCAGGCUUAACACAUGCAAGUCGAGGGGUAGAGGAAGCUUGCUUCCUUGAGACCGGCGCACGGGUGCGUAACGCGUAUGCAAUCUACCUUAUACAGGGGGAUAGCCCAGAGAAAUUUGGAUUAAUACCCCAUAGUAUAAUUGAAUGGCAUCAUUUAAUUAUUAAAGUUCCAACGGUAUAAGAUGAGCAUGCGUCCAUUAGCUAGUUGGUGUGGUAACGGCACACCAAGGCGACGAUGGGUAGGGGUCCUGAGAGGGAGAUCCCCCACACUGGUACUGAGACACGGACCAGACUCCUACGGGAGGCAGCAGUGAGGAAUAUUGGUCAAUGGGCGGCCAAGACCUGAACCAAGCCAUGCCGCGUGCAGGAUGACGGUCCUAUGGAUUGUAAACUAGCUUUGUUACAGGAA
Molecule: ribosomal RNA, 422 nt
Filed under: uncultured bacterium
Lineage: Bacteria
Description: bacterial SSU rRNA
Rfam family: Bacterial small subunit ribosomal RNA
Source: RNAcentral